RNAcentral lists this long non-coding RNA (310 nucleotides) under Homo sapiens (human). RNAcentral describes it as "HSALNT0004012". Lineage: Eukaryota; Metazoa; Chordata; Mammalia; Primates; Hominidae. The record is from RNAcentral.
UCCACCAUGUUGGGUUUGUAGUUCCGGAGGGUUUUGGCAGCAAAGAAAACGUCCACCAAGUUGUGGCAGCGGAUCAUCUCCAGGACCGUGGCGCAGGCGCAGAAGGUGCCGCUGCGUCCUCCCCCGUUUCUGAAUGAGAGAUGCAAAAGCUGAGGGGCGGGGCCUUGGAACCUGAAGGCGAAACAGACUGCGGAUUCUGAGAGAAAGGAGGCCAGACACACUCCAAGAGAAACACCCGGAGAGACAAAGACAGUGACAAAGAAGGGCGGAGGAGCAGCAAGCGCGUACCCAGAGAGCAAGGUGGAACAGG